RNAcentral lists this long non-coding RNA (12516 nucleotides) under Vitis vinifera (wine grape). RNAcentral describes it as "long non-coding RNA (VVIN_LNC001235)". The record is from RNAcentral. Lineage: Eukaryota; Viridiplantae; Streptophyta; Magnoliopsida; Vitales; Vitaceae.
AGAUCUCAUCUUGUAGUCGAUGGCCAAAGAGAGAUGAAAAUUUUCAAACCAUUUUGAUUAAUUUGGGAGUUUCCAUUGCAGGGGUGGGGUGUGGCUGUAUUGGUUGGUGUGCCAAACAAAGAUGACUCAUUCAAAACGCAUCCCGUGAAUCUAUUGAACGAAAGGACUCUGAAGGGCACUUUCUUUGGCAACUACAAACCCCGUUCCGACCUUCCUUCAGUGGUGGAAAAAUACAUGAACAAGGUAAUUAAUUAAUUAGCCGAAUUCCUUAAUUAGGUGGUUAUAUUUUGGGGAAGAUGAAUUCCUUAGUAAGUUAAUUUUUAUGUGGACAGGAGCUUGAAGUGGAGAAAUUCAUCACACAUGAAGUCCCUUUUGCAGAGAUCAAUAAGGCCUUCGAAUACAUGCUUCAAGGGGAUGGCCUUCGUUGCAUUAUUCGCAUGGAUCCAUAAAAGGUUGGGGAGAUUGGCCUAUUGCAGUUUGUUUUUCGAAGUGCCUGUGUUUGAUGAAAUUCAACUAUGUGGAGCAACCAUAGAUGUAUAAAGCAGUCGCAGUACUUAACAUUUUUACUCUCUUCUUGUGUAAUUUCUUUGUACCUUUAAUUGGACGCCCAUGAUCUAAAUUCUGAAAAGAUCCCAACCCAAUUCUCCCUUGACUUGGAUCUGCACAGCCAUAGCCAUGGCUGUCAAUAAGGAUGUGCUUCAGUUUUUUGUCUUUCUUUCUUGGUUAUGUUGUGAUUUUUUCCCCAAUGCAAUUAUAAUUACCAUCUCAUGUCUUGCCUCCUUGAAGGUGGAAAAAAGUAUUUCUCCUGUGCAUUAGAGACUUGUCAUAACAAGCACACCCAAAUUUUCCUUUUUUUUUUUUUUUUUUUCUUUUUUUUUUUUUGUGUUGCCUGUGGACGGUUUCUAUAAAAAAUAAUUCAUGCUUUUGGAUUUGAAGUACAACUCAUCUUUUCAAAAAAAAAAAAAAAAACAAGAACCAAAAAUAAAAAAUAUUCAAUGAAAAAUAUAAAAACUUUUAAGAUAAAAGGUAAAUUCGUCUUUUCAACCCAAAAACUAAAUUCAUUUUUAAAAAAUCAAUUUAGUAUAAAAAUAAAAUAACUGAUAAAAAGAACCAAUUUUUUUAUAAUAAAAAUUUAAACAAUUAUUUUUUAAUAAAAUAAUUUUAUAUAUAAAAAACCCAAUGCUUGUUUGGUAACCGUUUUAAAAAAAAAUUCUGAAAAAUAGUUAUGAGAACAAUUAUUCUCUUAUUUUUGUAAAACAAAAGUUUAUUUGAAAAAUUAAAAUAUUUUUAACCUAUUUUUAAUAUUUUUAAAUAUGCAUAUCUAAUGUUUUAUUUUUAAUAUUUCUACAUGUUUAUAUGAUUAUUUCUUAAAAUAAUUCUUAGAAAAUAAGUAAAAAUAAUAAAAAAUCAAUUAAAAGAUGUUUUAUGAAAACACCAUGUUUUCUAUUCUUAAAAUUAGAAAACAAAAAAUAUUUUUUGUUUGUCAAACAUUUUUUUUAUAUUUUUAUUCUGCUGAACAGAAAACUAUUCUAAAACACAAUUCCCAAACAAGGCCCAAACCUCUGCUAUAUUAUCAGUUGGAGUUGCUGUAUUUUUUGUGCACUUAAACUAAUUUAGAUGCAAAAAAGGAUGACUAAAAGGUAAGAAUAGGAAAGGAAGAGGCCUUGGAGUGAAAAAACAGGAGUUCAAUCUUGGUUAAAUCCAAGUGAACCCAAAUUUUGUUUGGAGAAAAAAUAAAAUAAAAUUCAAAUUUUUUAUGAAUAAGUUAGUCAAUUAUAUUAUAUAUUACAUUAAUAUCAAGAUUUUUUUCUUGUCAUGUCUCUAUCAUAUUAUAAUUAAAAGUAUUCAAUUAUGAUGACGAUAAGCUACCUAACCAAAAUCACAAGGUUAUGUUUGGCUCCCAAAAAAUACUAAGUAAAGAAAAAAAAAUACGAAAGGAAAUGAUUUUUUCAUAUUUGGUUGUCCUAUGAAAAAUAUAAAAGAAAAUCGAAUAUAAUUAAAACUAGUUAAAAACUUAUAUAUUUUUAAAUUAUUUAAUUUUUAUAUAAAUAAAAUGAGUUUGAAAUAGUAAAUAAAAAUAAUUUAUCGACUUUUAAUUUAUUUUUUAUUUUCCAUUAUUUCUUCUUUCCUUCUACUUUUCUUUUGUAUUUUCUUUCCCUUACAUUUUUCCUCAAAAUUUUCGAGAACCAAACAUAGCCUAACUAAUUAGAUUGUAUCACAUAUGCAUUUUGAUUCAUUGCUUUUUAUUUGUUGCUUUGUCCUAGUCUCUUCUUGUCUUUGUCAUAUAUACUAUAAAUUACAAAUGUCUGGCUAUGAUACCGAAGAGGUAUCUAAUGAAAACUAUGACUAAUUAGGUUGCAUUACGCAAUGUAUUUUGAUUUCAUUACUUUUAUAUUUAGGGAGGAUCAUCUAAAGCACAAUAUCUUACCAUAUACCAAAGGAGAGUAUUAUAUCAUUUCUAUCAUCACGAUACUUUUAAGUUUUAACACACUUUAGCAUUCAUAAAAUAGUAAUACUUUUUUUUUUUUUUAAAGAUUGUGUUGAUCGGUAUGCAAACUCAUUCGUUGAAAUUUGCAUUUUUAUUUUUUAUUUUAACCAAACAAUACUUUUAUCCAGACCAUUUUUAGAAAUAUUAGAUUAAGGGAUAGGAUAAUACCAUAUUUAGAAAAAUAUUUUUUAUGUAUCCAAAAUUGCAUAUAUAUAUCCUUAUUCAAAAUUAUUCUGAAUGAGCAGACCAAUUGGAAGCUCUUUUAUACCUUACCCACUCUCUAUUAGUUUGUUAAUAAACAAAACUUUGAAUAGAUAAGAGUGAUGAAAUAUUAUUAGUUUUAUACAGCGUUGACAACAAGCAACCGCGUAUGUAGGAAAGGCGGCAGACAAACAAACCAGGGAUGGAAUUCGAAGGCGCCGUGGGUUGUAGCCCCCCAAAAGACAAAACAAGGGUAGUGAAUAGUAACUGGGUUUUGUGUCCCAGACGGUAGGUGGAAUGUACUAUAAAUAGCAAUUGUAGGACAUCCAUUUCUCCACAAAGACAAAAACAGAGCAAGAGUACUACUGUGAAGCGUGAGAGAGCCUAAAGAUGUCAAGCACAGCUGGUCAAGUUAUACGUUGCAAAGGUAUUCUAGAAUCUACCUUUUUCUCUUCCUUUUUGUAUUGGGCUUAUGCUAUUGUCCUGGUUGUUUUGGGGAAAUGAGAUGAUUGUUAAAGAGGAAUUCAAGAUCACAUGGCCGAUAGGAAAUUGGGGAAUUUGUACCUACAUAUAUUGCUUUCUCCUGUUCAUAUAGGUUUCCUAGUGUCUGUGAUCGUUUGUAUUAUUUUUAAUUAUGUACACGAUUGGUUGAAUUCUUUUGACAAAUGGGUAUCUCCAUUACAGCCGCGGUAGCAUGGGAAGCAGGAAAGCCAUUGGUGAUAGAAGAAGUGGAAGUGGCGCCUCCACAGGUCAUGGAGGUUCGUCUGAAGAUUCUCUUCACCUCCCUCUGCCAUACUGAUGUUUACUUCUGGGAAGCCAAGGUAACUUCUUCAUGCCAGUGUUAUGUAGACUGUAAUUACAAAUCUAUAAUGUAUUACUUAAUAUGCAGAGAUUCAUGUAGAGUUGGGUUUUCAAUUUGCAGGGACAAACCCCUUUAUUUCCUCGUAUAUUUGGUCAUGAGGCUGGCGGGUAUGAUGAUAUUCUUUGAAAAAUUAUUUAACAAAACUACUCAAUUUCAUUUUCAUUGAUGUCUACUUCAUUUUUCCAACACAAUCGACCUUUUUAUCUUAAUAAUUUUCUUUCCUUUCCUGUCAUUUUAAUUAGGAUUGUGGAGAGCGUGGGUGAGGGUGUCACAGAUCUCCAACCUGGAGACCAUGUUCUUCCUGUAUUCACUGGCGAAUGCAAGGAGUGCCGGCACUGCAAGUCAGAGGAGAGUAAUAUGUGUGACCUCCUCAGGAUAAACACCGACAGAGGCGUGAUGCUCAGUGAUAACAAAUCAAGAUUCUCUAUUAACGGAAAACCCAUUUACCAUUUUGUGGGGACUUCCACAUUUAGCGAAUACACUGUGGUUCAUGUUGGUUGCGUCGCUAAGAUCAACCCUGCUGCCCCACUCGACAAAGUUUGUGUUCUCAGUUGUGGAAUCUCUACAGGUGAGGGAGAACCAUCAAACAAACUCUUCCAAUUUAUUUAUUUCAUUGGUGUCUUCUUUUAUUUCUUGUCUUGUUAAUGACAAGUGUGCUUUCUGUUAAAGGUCUGGGUGCUACAUUGAAUGUUGCAAAACCAUGGAAGGGUUCAUCAGUCGCCAUUUUCGGUUUAGGAGCUGUGGGGCUUGCUGUGAGUUUCUCCUCUCUAAUGGAAGCCGCUCAUUCUUUUGCUCUUUAUUACUGCUAUUAAUGAAAUUAAUUUUACUUUGGUUUCAAAUGAUUAGGCUGCUGAGGGGGCUAGAAUUGCAGGCGCUUCCAGAAUCAUUGGGAUUGAUCUAAACCCUAAGAGAUUUAAUGACGGUGAGUACUCAAAAUGCCCACAAGAUUAAAACACUGUGUCAUACAAUUACAAAUUACUAUUUGUGCCUGCUCUAAUGCUGAACACUAUGGAUGAUUUUUCAUUUGACUUUUGUUGCUAACAGCAAAGAAAUUUGGCGUCACUGAGUUUGUGAACCCAAAGGAUCAUGACAAGCCUGUUCAAGAGGUUCAUUCCUUUACCUUCUAUCAUAAAUUGCUGACAAGCAAAUAUAAGUGUGUGCUUUAUACUGAUGGAGAAUUCUUUUGUGAUUAGGUGAUUGCUGAGAUGACCGAUGGGGGAGUGGACAGAAGUGUUGAGUGUACCGGAAAUGUCAAUGCUAUGAUAUCUGCAUUUGAGUGUGUUCAUGAUGUAAGUUCAUCAGAUCUCAUCUUGUAGUCGUUGGCCAAAGAGAUGAAAAUUUUCAAACCAUUUUGAUUAAUUUGGGAGUUUCCAUUGUAGGGGUGGGGUGUUGCUGUGCUGGUUGGUGUGCCAAACAAAGAUGACUCGUUCAAAACGCACCCCGUGAAUCUAUUGAACGAGAGGACUCUGAAGGGCACUUUCUUUGGCAACUACAAACCCCGUUCCGACCUUCCUUCAGUGGUGGAAAAAUACAUGAACAAGGUGAUUAAUUAAUUAGCUGAAUUCCUUAAUUAGGUGAUUAUAUUUUGGGAAGAUGUCUUACUCGGUUAUUUUACCGUGGACAGGAGCUUGAACUGGAGAAAUUCAUCACACACGAAGUCCCUUUUGCAGAGAUCAACAAGGCCUUCGAAUAUAUGCUUAGCGGGGAUGGGCUUCGAUGCAUCAUUCGCAUGAAUGCAUAAAACAUUGGGGAGAUUUGCCUAUUCCAGUCUGCAUAAGUGUCUUAAGUACUCUGUCUUUUAAUGCAUUUGAGUUUGCUUUUUCAAAGUGUGUUUGCGUGAUGAGAUCAGAUUUUGUGGAGAGUAAUGCUAUAUGGAUAAAGCUUUAAUAUAAACAAUGUCUAUGCAGUUGCAAUAUAUAACAUUUUUAUUAUCCACAACACGUCUAAGAAAAUGACAAUUUUUCUAUUUUCUUUUUUAUUUUAUUUUUUCCUUUUAAUUAUGUAAUCCUAAAAUCAUCCCAACCCAAUUCUCCCUUAGCUUGGAUCUGCACAUACGUAGCCAUAUCCAUGGCUUUCCACACCGGAAGAAAACAAAUGAUGAUUUUAUUGUCCUUUUUAUACAAUAUUCAAUAAAAAUAUUCUUUAAUAAUUAUUUUAUAAAUAAAAUAAUUUUCAUAAAAACUAAGAGUACUUAAAAAAUAUUCAAUAAAAAGGAAUGGGAUGAAAACCCAAUAAGGAAUAUCAAUAUAAUUUUAUAAAUAAAUUUUUUUAAAUAUCAUUACAAAUAAGAGAUACAAUUUAAUAAUUAUUUUCAAAAAAAUGUUUGAACUUUAAAAAUAUUAAAUCAAUAUUUUCAAUCAAUAUUAUUUAUAUCAAUGAUAAUUUUAUAUCUAAUAAAAAAAUAAAUUAUUUCAAAAUAUUUUUACUCCAAUUAUCAAAUAACAAUUAAUGUCUAAUUAGGUAAAACUUUACAAUUUGAUGGAUAGUCUUAAAUAUUAUUCUUUUUUAAGACGGAUGAAAUCAAACUCUAUUAAUAUUAGUAACCUCUAACCAAACCAUUAGAUAUUGGGAUCCAUUGCAAUUAUAUUCUCCACCAAGGAAUUUAAAAUUUAAAGGCCAACAAUAAUAUCAUUAGGGCCCAACAAGCUAAAGUCAAACAAAUUUAUUUAAAAAAAGAAUUUUAAAGGAUAUUUCAAUCAAAAUUUUAUUUUAAAAUAUAUAUAUAUAUAUAUAUAUAUAUUUUACAUUUUUAUUUACUAAAGAUAUUUCAAUCCAAAUUUUAUUUAAAGAAGAAAUAUUUUUAUACAACUUUUAUUAAAAAAAAAAAGAUAUUUAUAAUUUUGUAUAUAAAAAAGCAUUCCAUUUGAUUUUUAUUUGAAAUAGAAUUUUAUGAUUUUGCUUAAUGAAAGAAUCUUGCUUUUAUCAAAAAGAUAUUUCCAUAAUAUUAUCUAGAAUAAAGAAUCUUGCUUAACUUUAUUUGAAAAAAAGGAUUUUUUGCAUUUUGUAAAUUAAAUUUCCCAUCCAAAAUUUAUUUUUAUUUACCAAAAUAGUGAUUCUUAAUUAAUUUUAUUAGAAAAUUAGUUUCAAAUUUAUUAUUUAAAUAAUAUUUAAAUUUUAUGUAAAAAAGGAUAUUUUUAUUUGUUAAGACAAACCAAAAUUUCAAUUUAUUUAAAAAAUAAGAUUUUAACUUUAUUCAAAAACAAUUUCAAAAGAACUUUCAUCUUGACACCAAAAAAAAUUAUUUCAUAUUGAUUAAUAGGAUAAUUUUGAUUUUAUUGAAGAUAAUAUAUAUAUAAUUCAAAAAAAAUUACAAAAACUAAUUUAUUAAAAUAAUUAUUCUAAGAAAAGACUAGAUUUUUUGUUAAAAAAAUAUUUUUCUGUUUUAUUAAAAAAAAUUAUUCAAUUUACCAAUAAAAAGGGAAUUUCAGUUUGCUUUUGAAAAAAAGGUGAUUUCGAAUUUUAUUUUAUUUGCACAAAAAAAAAAAGUUUAAAGAAAAACAACUACAGAUUUAUGAAAAAAAAAUGAAAAAAAAUAUAAUAUAUAAAAAUCAAUUUAUCAACAAUGUUAUUUUAAGAAAAAAAAAAUAUUAUUAGUUUAUGAAAAGACAUUUUUAAUCAUUAUUCCUCAUUUUAUUUCUUAGAAAUAUUCUAAAAAAAAAAACUAAAAAUUAAGGUGGUGUUUUUUUUUUUUUCACUUAACUCUAAAUAAAACUUUAAUAUUUAAUAAUAUUAAGUAUUAAGUUGUUUGUUUUUAUAAUAUUCUAUUUUUAUUAAGCAUUAAAAAAUAAAGAAAAAUGCACGUGUUACUUUUUUCAUUUAGAAAAAGUCAAAUAUUUUGGUUUUUUCUAUUCAAUAAAAAGUUUGUAAUAAAUUAUGAAAAAGUAGAAAAAUAAACAACAUAAAGUGUGAAAGCAAAUUGCUUUUAGUAAAAAACUAAAAAUAAAAAAUAAACAUCCUUUAACUUAAUAUAUUUUUCAUAAUUGAUAAAAACCAAAAAAUUUGGUUGAAUAUGAAUAAUGUAUUAAAGAAAGUAAAACAAGAACAAAAUAUAACUCAAACCCUUCCACACAAAAAUAAAACUCAGAAAAUAUAGAGUGCUAUUUGUUAACUCAUGUCGCCUCUUAUCAUGCAUCUAGCUUUCUCCUCCGUUCAAGAAAAAUCCCACCAUCCAUGGGGUUCAUCAAGAUUCAUAUUCCAUCCCUUAAAAAACAGCUCUCAGUCAAGGUGAAGCCCAUGCCAAAUAACAACCCAAAGCAAUAAAAAAAUUAAGCCCAAAAAUAAGUAUAAAAUCAAGAGAUAACAUAUUAAAAGGGAUGAAAUCUUCCCUACUUUGGAAAACUAACCCUUAGUUUUUUUCCAACCUAAAACAUACCUAUUUUGAUAAAAAUGCCCUCAUUUUUUUAUUACAAAAGUAACCAUUUCUUUUAAAACACACAUGUAAAUAAUGAAAAUAUUGAAGGGUAUUUAUGUCAAAAAUGGAUUACUCUUCAAGUUAAAAAACGAAAAAGGUUAGUUUUACAAAUUUAGGAUGUUUUUAUCAUUUUUAAUCAAUUAAUCCUAAAAUCAAUAUGCCAAGUAAUAUCCAACGAAGCCCAAAUCAAAAUAUUUAAUUACAUGUCAAUAAACAAACCCAUGGCUUAAGAAUAGGCCCAAAGUCUUCAAUAGGUAUUGUGGAUCAAAAACCUCAAAUUAAAAUCCCUAAAACUCUAACUAAGUGAACACUCUAAAUCACAAUAUGAGUAGAUAAAUCAAACUCAAAUAAAACUGAAAUCCUAAAAUAAAAACACAAACAAAUUAGAAUCUAAAGGAAAAGAAAAAAAAUGAGUAACUGAAAAUUCUCGAGCAUUAUCAAACAAUGGUAAUGAAGUCACAAGGUAAGUUAAUGGGAGGUCCAAAUGGGUGGUGUAAUGGUGGCUAGCAUGGAUUUGGUGAAAAAGAAAGUAGAAAAAGGGAUGAGAAGUCAUGUAACAGUUUGUACCCAAUCAUGUAUAUAUUGUCUGCUUUAAGCCUAAAGGGGACUUUCACGGGUUUAAAACACAUCCACUUGAUUAAGAAGGACUUUUACUCAUAUAAUGUCAGAAAUUUUCCUCCCUAUCUGAUGUGAGACAUUACAAACACUCCCUCAUGUAGACAUAGCGUUCUCAUUGUGUCUCAUAGGAUUGUGAAGUCAAACAAACAAAUACUCUUUAUAGAGCCAAACUCUCACACAGGGGUCGAGGAUCGACUUUGAUACCAUUUGUAACGAUUCGCAUCUAACCAUAUAAAUAUUGUCCACUUUGAACCCAAAUAGUCAUUCAUGGAUUUAAAAUGCGUCUACUUAGUUAAGAAAAAUUCUUACUUAAAUAGUAUUAAGAACUUUUUUUCAUAUCCGACAUGAGACAUCACAAAUACUUCCUCAUGCAGACACAAUGCUCUUGUUGUGUUUCAUGGGAUUGUGGGAUUAAACAGACAAACACCUCUUACGGGGCCAAACAAAUCCCCACAUCGGGGUGGAGAAUUGGUUUUGAUAUCAUUUGUAACUAUUUUUACUCAACCAUGUAGAUAUUGUCCACUUUGGGCUUAAAACGCUCCUUAUGACUUUAAAAGUCAUCUAUAGGAUUAAGAGAAGUCUAUACUUAUAUAGUACUUGUAACUUUAAUUUAUUUCUUAUUCGAAGUGGGAUAUUAUAAACAAUCCCCCCCCCCCAUGUAGAUACAACAUCUUCGUUGUGUUAUAUAGGAUUGUAAGGCUAAACAGACAAACACCCUCUACAGGGCCAAACAAACCCCCACACUAAGUCAGGGAUCAACUUUAAUACCAUUUGUAACAACUCACAGGUUUAAAACGUGUCUACUUGGUUAAAAAAAGCUCUUACUUAUAUAGUGUUAUAAACUUUUUUCACUAUCCGAUGUGAGACAUCACAAACACCCUUCAUGCAGACAACAUCCUCGUUGUAUUUCACGAGAUUGCAAAGUCAAACAGACAAACAUCCCCUAUGAAACCAAAUCCCUACACGGGGGUCAGGGAUUGAUAUUGAUACAAUUUGUAAUGACCCACACUUAACUGUGUAGUAUAGUCUGCUUUGUACCAAAAGGGUCUUCACGACUUUAAAAUGUGUCCACAUGGUUAAAAUGAACUCAUACUUAAAUAGCACUGAAAACUUUCUCUCCUAUCCGAUGUGAGACAUUACAAACAUCCCCUUCUUGUAACGAUUCGCACAUGACCGUGCAGAUAUGAAACAAAAUUUUAUUCAUGAAAAUAACUAAAAUUUAUUUUCGAAAACAUUGCGGAUCAAACUUAGAUGGACUUUCCACUCAUUACUAUAGUAUGCUACUUACAUUAUAGUCUUUGAGGCAAAUCAGCCUUACUGGAAAUUAAACCGUUUUAGUGUUAGUUAUUUUUAAUCGAUAUAGAAUCUGUUUGAUUCAAAACGCUAAAAUUAUUCUGGCCAAACACCAAUUAAAAGCUCUUUUCUACCUUAACCAUUUUUUAUUAGUUUGUUUCAUAAACAUGAUUUCUUUGAAUUGAUAUGGUGACGGAAUAUUGUUAUUUUUAUGUAGCGUUGACCCUAGGAAACGGUGCGUGUGUGUAAAACGAGGCGGGUUACAAAACAGACAAAGGGGUCAACUAGGGACAAAACCAGGGAUGAAAUUGAAAGGCGCCGUGGGUUGUAGCCUCCAAAAGACAAAACAAGGGUAGCAACUGGGUUGUGCGUCCUAGACAGUUGGGUGGCGUGUGGUAUAAAUAGCAAGAGAAGCACGCCCAUUUCUCCACAAAGGAAGAAACAAAGAAAUACUAGUUACCGUCAAAAGUGAGAGAAGAAAGAGCCUUAAGAUGUCAGGCACAGCUGGUCAAGUUAUACGUUGCAAAGGUAUUCUAGAAUCUAGCUUCUCUCUGAUGGGUCUCCCAUUGGAUUCUGUUUAUCUGAUGUCCUCUGUGAGCUUCUCUUGAAGAUUAGGGGUCCUUUUGAUGCUUUAUUUUUUUUGUUCUUUUCUUGCACUGGGCUUAUAUUGUUUUGGGGAAAUGAGAUGAUUUGUAGCUAGAUCUAUAUACAUCUUGAUUUGUCCUGGUCGUAUUUUUAUUAUUUAAUUAUGAAAAUAAUUAUGUUGAAUUCUUUGGACAAAUGGAUAUCUCCUGAUUAAAUUCUUUUGACAAAUGGAUAUAUACCUCCAUUACAGCCGCAGUAGCAUGGGAAGCAGGAAAGCCAUUGGUGAUCGAAGAAGUGGAAGUGGCGCCUCCACAGGUCAUGGAGGUUCGUCUGAAGAUUCUCUUCACCUCCCUCUGCCACACUGAUGUUUACUUCUGGGAAGCUAAGGUAACUUCUUCAUGCCAAUGUUAUGUAGACUGUAAUUACAAAUCUACAAUGUAUUACUUAAUAUGCAGAGAUUUAUAUAUAGUUGGGUUUUCGAUUUGCAGGGACAAACCCCUUUAUUUCCUCGUAUAUUUGGUCAUGAGGCUGGCGGGUAUGGAGAUAUUCUUACAAAUUAAUCAACCAAAAAAUACUAAAUUCCAUUUUCAUUGUUGUCUCCUUGAUUUUUCCAACACAAAUGAUUUUUUCAUCUUAAUAAUUUUCUUUCCUUUUCUGGUGUUUUAAUUAGGAUUGUGGAGAGCGUGGGGGAGGGUGUCACAGAUCUCCAAUCUGGAGACCAUGUUCUUCCUGUAUUCACUGGCGAAUGCAAGGAGUGCCGGCACUGCAAGUCAGAGGAGAGUAAUAUGUGUGACCUCCUCAGGAUAAACACCGACAGAGGCGUGAUGCUCAGUGAUAACAAGUCAAGAUUCUCUAUUAACGGAAAACCCAUUUACCAUUUUGUGGGGACUUCCACAUUUAGUGAAUACACUGUGGUUCAUGUUGGUUGCGUCGCUAAGAUCAACCCUGCUGCCCCACUCGACAAAGUUUGUGUUCUCAGUUGUGGAAUCUCUACAGGUGAGGGAGAACCAUCAAACAAACUCUUCCAAUUUAUUUAUUUCAUUGGUGUCUUCUUUUAUUUCUUCUCUUGUUAAUGACAAGUGUGCUUUCUGUUAAAGGUCUUGGUGCUACUUUGAAUGUUGCAAAACCAUGGAAGGGUUCAUCAGUCGCCAUUUUCGGUUUAGGAGCUGUGGGGCUUGCUGUGAGUUUCUCCUCUCUAAUGGAAGCCGCUCAUUCUUUUGCUCUUUAUUACUGCUAUUAAUGAAAUUAAUUUUUCUGUGGUUUCACAUGAUUAGGCUGCUGAGGGGGCUAGAAUUGCAGGCGCUUCCAGAAUCAUUGGGAUUGAUCUAAACCCUAAGAGAUUUAAUGACGGUGAGUACUCAAAAUGCCCACAAGAUUAAAACACUGUGUCAUACAAUUACAAAUUACUAUUUGUGCCUGCUCUAAUGCUGAACACUAUGGAUGAUUUUUCAUUUGACUUUUGUUGCUAACAGCAAAGAAAUUUGGCGUCACUGAGUUUGUGAACCCAAAGGAUCAUGACAAGCCUGUUCAAGAGGUUCAUUCCUUUACCUUCUAUCAUAAAUUGCUGACAAGCAAAUAUAAGUGUGUGCUUUAUACUGAUUGAGAAUUCUUUUGUGAUUAGGUGAUUGCUGAGAUGACCGAUGGGGGAGUGGACAGAAGUGUUGAGUGUACCGGAAAUGUCAAUGCUAUGAUAUCUGCAUUUGAGUGUGUUCAUGAUGUAAGUUCAUCAGAUCUCAUCUUGUAGUCGUUGGCCAAAGAGAGAUGAAAAUUUUCAAACCAUUUUGUUUAAUUUGGGAGUUUCCAUUGCAGGGGUGGGGUGUUGCUGUACUGGUUGGUGUGCCAAACAAAGACGACUCAUUCAAAACGCAUCCCGUGAAUCUAUUGAACGAGAGGACUCUGAAGGGCACUUUCUUUGGCAACUACAAACCCCGUUCCGACCUUCCUUCAGUGGUGGAAAAAUACAUGAACAAGGUGAUUAAUUAAUUAGCUGAAUUCCUUAAUUAGGUGAUUAUAUUUUGGGAAGAUGUCUUACUCGGUUAUUUUACCGUGGACAGGAGC